Molecule: non-coding RNA, 3344 nt
Organism: Cyanistes caeruleus (blue tit)
Lineage: Eukaryota; Metazoa; Chordata; Aves; Passeriformes; Paridae
Source: RefSeq, a predicted model, not a curated record
AAAAAAACCAAAAAAACAACAAAACAACCUCCUGCCAAAUUGCAAUGAGCAAUUGCUCAUUUAUAUAUUUUUAAACAAGAAUCAAAUGAACAGUUUUGAAUUGUGUUUGACUUAAUUCCAUUCUUGAUGUCCUGUAUACAUGUUCUGUUUUUUGCAAGGGGAGGGGAAGGAAGAUAACUAGUACUUCUAGACCAGAUUUGCAAUAUUAUUUGUAACAUGGGUUUUACACUCAAUGAAAUAGGAUAUACACUGGUUUUGAGUAAAGCAAUAAUUCUCAAGAAGAAAAUUAUUCUGCAUGGCAGUGCUGGUUUAAAACACAGCUAGAAAAUUAAACCCCACUUAAGCUGCUCUCUUCCCCCAUCCCCUCCUAGCGAAAGGGAGACUAAAAGCAGAGGUUCUGAGUUAGGAAUGGUUGCAUUGAAAGAGUUGCAGUCAAUGGCAAGUGAUAGGGAGGAACAUGAAUCCAGCAACCCAAUUGCUGUCAAAUGAAGUUAACUCUCCUCACUGCCAAAAGCCCAGUGUUUGACACAAAGCCACUUAGGUCAAUUCUAAAGGGCACUGCCUCUCUCCAUAGACCACGUAGGGAUACUAAAAUUGGUGACAUUUUGAUACAUUCAACUUCUGGCAAUUGUUUUUCUAUUCAUCUAAUUCUUGUGCACAAGUACUACAUAACUGCUCAAAGUUUAAGUACUCUGUGUGAUAUACUGGUAAUGUAAACCUCCAUUUCUUUCAGUUAGAAGUUGUUUUAUGUGGUUUUGUAUGAUCGUUUAUAAAACUCCAUAUGUUUCAUGAUAAUUUAUGGGUAAUGUAAAACUAAGCUAAGGUCAGUAUUUUUGUUCAAGUUAGUAUGCCAUACAAAUAUGUCUGAUUAUUUAUUUUGUUUUUUAAAUGGACAACCAUGAUUUCACUUGAGUGCAAAUAUGAUGUGAACCUAGGUCUUAGGUUAAAGUUAACACAAGCUUUUGCACAGCUGUGUUUAAAUACCUAGUACUGACCAGUUCAUAUAAAUGGAGCUGCCUGGAAGGCAUUUCUCAAUUUCUUAUUUGUGGUACUAAAGUUAUUUGAUAUUUUGAAACUUGUCCUUGCAUGCUGGUGUGAUCUCAUGAGCUUCUGGCUGCAAAAUACAGAUCCUUGUUUCUGACUCAGCUAUCGACGUUGCAUAGCAUCAGCUACAGAUUUAUCUGUGCCUCUGAUGAAAGCAGGGUCAUUACUGAGUCACUCUUCCCUCAGGGACAAAAAUGCCGAGAUCCUGUUCUUUUGCCCACCUGAGUAUAUUCGUUUCAGUAUGAAAUUAAUUUACAACAUAAAAGAUAAGUGCUGACUCACUGGUCUAAUUUUUUGCAGCAUGUUUUUGAUCUCAGUUGGGAUUCAGGUUCUUUUUUCAGUAUUAUCAUCACUAGGUUUGAAAGAGGAAUGGAUCAUUCAUCUGAUAGCUGGACAGAUCUCUUUAUACUGUUCAGAACACUUGGCCUGAUACAGAGAGGAAAAUGACAGAUUAAUCUGGCAGUGUCACAUUGAUUUGGGGUUUCAUUAUUUCAGAGGUAAUUAUUUGCCACUCAUAAACUCACCUACAUAUAUGGUGGCAACACUUUCAGUCAUGAGACAUUACUCAGCAAUAGCAGGUACUUAGGUACUGCAGAUCCAUGAAACAAAUACAUGGCCCUUGCCCUCAGAGGACUUAAAAUCAAAUUCCAGGCCCUGGCUGAUUGUUAGUAGCAGACAUUCCAGUAAAAUUUUAAGUGCCCAGGACUUUGCCUUAGAGAGUAAAACAGUGCCCUCCCUUCUGUAGGGCAGAGGGCAGAUUUUCAGGACCAUGCUACAGGUGCUGUGGAAAUAAUGUCUUCACACCUGCUGGUGGUUCAGUGUCACAGAGUAACACAACCUUCAAGGCUGGCUUUGCAAUUUCGUCUCUGUAUGUGGCAUUGAUGGAUGGCAACGGCACGUGCAUGCUCUCAUGGAUACAGAGACAUGUGGCUGCAGGAAACAAGAGACAAAGACAAAAUGAGCAAGAGAAAGGAAGCAGGAGACAGACACUGCAAGCAGAAGAUAAUCACCAUCAUGGAUCCAGUAGCAUCCCAUUGGUCCUUCAGUGUCCUGGGCUUCUUGCUGGUGAGGGCGUACCCAGUUUGUUCCCUGAGUUUCUGUUUUCAAUCCCUUGUUAGCAUGAGAGGCAAGAGAGUGUGUGUGUUUUACCACUCCAUUUUCUCAGGUCUCAAUUCAUUGUCUGGGGAGGGAUCUAUUCUGUGGAUCUCAAAGGAUUAAGGUUGUAAUGAAAAAUACCGGUUUUGGUCCUGACUUGGCAAAGCCAGAUCUGGGACUUUGUUCCAUUUUCAGCUUGUGCAUAGGCACCUAUGAUGUUUUCUGCAACAGAUUUCAUCACCCUUUGUUUAAUGCAUAAAAUGCAAAUGUCAUUAACCCUUUACUUACAAUGGCCUCCAUCAUACACUGGUGCAGAGGGUUGUUCCUCCCCACCUGCAGCACUUCAUACUUCUCCUUGUUGAAUUUCAUUCCUGUUGGCCCAUUUCUCCAGCUUGCCAAGGUCACUCUGGAUGGCAGCACGACCUUCGGGUGUUUAAGUCACUCCUCCCAGUUUUGAGUCAUCAGCACAAUUGCUGUUGGGACACUGCCCCAUCAUCCAGAUUACUAAUGAAGAUGUUAAACAGGAAUUGAUGCAGUAUUGACUCACAGCAUACACCAGUAGUUACUGGCUUCCAGCUAGGUGCCAUGCUUCUCAAGACCACCCUCUGGACCUGGCCAUUCAGCCAGUUUUUGGUCCACCUCAAUGUUUGCUCAUCCAGACUGUAUACCAACAGCUUUUCUGUGAGGAUCUUAUGAGAGACAUUGUCAAAGGCCUCACUGAAGCCCAGGUAGACAAUAUCUGCUGCACUUUCCUCAUCUGUCAGGUCACUCAAGUCAUUGUAGGACUUUAGCAAGUUGGUGAAGCGAGACUUCCCCUUGGUGAAGCCAUGCUGACUAUGCCUGAUCAUUUUCUUGUCCCUAAUGUGCCUAGAAAUGGCUUUGAGAAUUUGUUGCUUCAGAAAUAGUCAGAAGCUGAUGAGAUCACACCAGAAAUGCAAGGACAAUGCAAGUUGUUUUCUGAGCAUCUGAAGGAAGCAGAAAAUAAUGUUCCCGAAAGAAGGGAACAUUCACUUAAUUUAAGUGAAACAACAAAGACAGGAUUCCUUGGUGGCCUCUGUACUGAGUGUUCCGCAGUGUAGAAGGAUGUCAGGCAUUGACUUGGAAACCAGUGUCUGUCCUUAUAAGAAAGCAUUAAACUUCCAGCAGAAACCAGUUCUGCAAACUGGAGUGGUAACUCACAGCUUGAAAUAAAAAUCCCAAUUAUU